Molecule: long non-coding RNA, 1031 nt
Filed under: Monodelphis domestica (gray short-tailed opossum)
Lineage: Eukaryota; Metazoa; Chordata; Mammalia; Didelphimorphia; Didelphidae
Description: lncRNA (ENSMODG00000040190.1)
Source: RNAcentral
CCGAGAUUCAAGUGAGAAUAAGGAAGAGCCACCAUCAGAGGUGGUGCCUGAGCUGAGAGUCGGAGGCGAGCUUCAGGGGCCCAGCCCUGCUGGGGGGAGGGGAGGCGCGUCUCUUUGUCCCUCUCUAGCCAUGGGACAGCCCAACGAGGGGGACCCUCUUGCGUCUCCAGGGCUUACGGGAGCAAAGGAACUUCCCCGCGUACCGUUUGCCCGAGUUUCUGGGGGUUCGCUGCCCACGCUGCCCUCAGUGGGGUCUGCCUGGCAGCCCAGUGCCCGGGCAGGAAGUUGAAGAGCCUCCAUUCGAAUGGUCUCAGGAAGACCCUGAAGGUCAGCUGGCCAGAGCCGGGCCCAGACCCGGAGCUGGGACGCGGAGCAUUCGGACUCUGCUGCAGAGAAGGCGGCCACUCUGUCCAAAUGGCCCGGGAGACGAUUGUGUGAAGGGCGGACACUCCCCAGGCCGCUCGGCGCCUCGGUGCCCUUCCCGAGACGCGGGAGCCCCUGGCGCAGGAGCGCCCACGUCAGAGACGGUGCGCCGUGUCGCCGUGCAAGUAGCACAGAAGCCAAAGUGGAAGCACAUCCCGUCCCUGUCCAGGCGGGCCAUUUGGGCCGGCUGUGGCGAGCCUUCAGAACCCCCACAGUACCUACAGCAUAACGGGCCGGGCCGGCGUGCUGAGACGACUUUCCGGCCCAGGAGAGCCCAGAAUGUCAGCAGGAAAUGUCCGCCGCUCAGGGGCGAGAGGGGUGCCUCCGCCAGGGCAGCAGCUUCUGCGGACAGGAAGGGCUCAGACCCCAGGAAAGACUCGGCCAGGCCUGCUUCCAGUCCCAGUCUGCGAGGAGCCGGGGAAGAAAGGAGGGGAAAUGGAGCAACAUCUAAAAAAAGAGGUUAGAAGCGGCUUUGAGGUGUAAAGGGGAGACAGAAAAAUAAAAUAAGAGCGGCCCCCGCUUCCCAGGACUGCUGUGAGAAGCACUGAGAAGUGCUGAGCGCGUGCGAGGUACAGUCCUGCAGAGACGAGCUUUGGGAAGAGUGUUCG